UACGUAGGGGGCAAGCGUUGUCCGGAUUUAUUGGGCGUAAAGAGCGUGUAGGCGGUUAUACAGGUCCGCUGUGAAAACUGGAGGCUUAACCUCCAGACGUCGGUGGAAACCGUAUGACUAGAGUCCGGAAGAGGAGAGUGGAAUUCCUGGUGUAGCGGUGAAAUGCGCAGAUAUCAGGAAGAACACCCGUGGCGUAGGCGGCUCUCUGGGACGGUACUGACGCUGAGACGCGAAAGCGUGGGGAGCGAACAGG
This 253-nucleotide ribosomal RNA is filed under the name uncultured bacterium. Its description in RNAcentral is "partial 16S ribosomal RNA". It matches the Rfam family "Bacterial small subunit ribosomal RNA", at positions 524 to 776 of the family's 1533-position model. The record is from RNAcentral.